This 253-nucleotide ribosomal RNA is filed under the name uncultured bacterium. RNAcentral describes it as "partial 16S ribosomal RNA". It matches the Rfam family "Bacterial small subunit ribosomal RNA", at positions 524 to 776 of the family's 1533-position model. The record is from RNAcentral.
UACGUAGGGUGCGAGCGUUGUCCGGAAUUAUUGGGCGUAAAGAGCUCGUAGGCGGUUUGUCGCGUCUGCUGUGAAAACGCGAGGCUCAACCUCCAGCCUGCAGUGGGUACGGGCAGACUAGAGUGCGGUAGGGGAGAUUGGAAUUCCUGGUGUAGCGGUGGAAUGCGCAGAUAUCAGGAGGAACACCGGUGGCGAAGGCGGUUCUCUGGGCAUUACCUGACGCUGAGGAGCGAAAGUGUGGGGAGCGAACAGG